GCCGCGGUAAUUCCAGCUCCAAUAGCGUAUAUUAACGUUGUUGCAGUUAAAAAGCUCGUAGUUGAAUUGAAGUGAACUUGGGUUGAUGUGAUCUUCGGAUGACAUGAAUCAAAGUUGACUCUUUCCAAAGUCAAUACAUUGGUAUUCAUUUAUCUUUGUAUUGUGUUUGGUCAUUUACUGUGAGAAAAUUAGAGUGUUCAAAGCAGACGUUUGUUUGAAUACAUUAGCAUGGAAUAAUCAUAUAUGGCUUUCAUGUUGAUUUGAUUGGUUUGAAUAUGGAAGCAAGAUUAAAAGGGACAGUUGGGGGUAUUCAUAUUCAAUAGUCAGAGGUGAAAUUCUGGGAUUUAUGGAAGAUGAACAAGUGCGAAAGCAUUUACCAAGGAUGUUGUCAUUAAUCAAGAACGAAGG
RNAcentral lists this ribosomal RNA (408 nucleotides) under Blastocystis sp. RNAcentral describes it as "SSU rRNA". It matches the Rfam family "Eukaryotic small subunit ribosomal RNA", at positions 573 to 989 of the family's 1831-position model. Lineage: Eukaryota; Bigyra; Opalinata; Blastocystidae. The record is from RNAcentral.